This 273-nucleotide ribosomal RNA is filed under the name uncultured bacterium. Its description in RNAcentral is "partial 16S ribosomal RNA". It matches the Rfam family "Bacterial small subunit ribosomal RNA", at positions 524 to 794 of the family's 1533-position model. The record is from RNAcentral.
UACGUAGGGUGCGAGCGUUAAUCGGAAUUACUGGGCGUAAAGCGUGCGCAGGCGGUUAUAUAAGACAGAUGUGAAACUCCCGGGCUCAACCUGGGAACUGCAUUUGUAGACUGUAUAGCUAGAGUACGGCAGAGGGGAUGAAUUCCGCGUGUAGCAGUGAAAUGCGUAGAUAUGCGGAGGAACACCGAUGGCGAAGGCAAUCCCCUGGGCUGUACUGACGCUCAUGCGACGAAAGCGUGGGGAGCAAACACGGGAUUACGAUACCCUGGUAGU